Molecule: transfer RNA, 77 nt
Filed under: Rhizoctonia solani
Lineage: Eukaryota; Fungi; Basidiomycota; Agaricomycetes; Cantharellales; Ceratobasidiaceae
Description: tRNA-Tyr
Rfam family: tRNA
About the family: Transfer RNA (tRNA) molecules are approximately 80 nucleotides in length. Their secondary structure includes four short double-helical elements and three loops (D, anti-codon, and T loops).
Source: RNAcentral
CCCUUGGUAGCUCAGUUGGAAGAGCGUGAGACUGUAAUGUAAUCUCAAGGUCACUGGUUCGAACCCGGUCCGAGGGA